CUUUUUCCCUCAUCAAGGUUUUGUCCCAAUGGGUUUUCCUUGGGGAGGUUUUUAAUGAGGAAGAUCUCAUGGCUAUCCAAGCUUAGACUUUCACAAAGCUAAGCUUGAGGGGGAGUGUUGAGAAGAAGGCAUUAGAUGAUGAGAUGGAUUGCUAAUAAGAGAGUGAGGCUUAGGAGAGCAAUGGGUUGGAGGAAUGAGUUUGGGAGAGGCUAGGCCGUAUAGGACGUACCAUGGCCGUACAUGCCGUACAAGAGGAACUCGACCAAGAUCACUCCUUAAGGGAAGUUACUACACUCGGUUAACUUAAGAGGUAAAGGAGAAGUCUUACUG
RNAcentral lists this long non-coding RNA (330 nucleotides) under Brassica napus (rape). RNAcentral describes it as "long non-coding RNA (BNAP_LNC025301)". Lineage: Eukaryota; Viridiplantae; Streptophyta; Magnoliopsida; Brassicales; Brassicaceae. The record is from RNAcentral.